This 116-nucleotide ribosomal RNA is filed under the name Lepisosteus oculatus (spotted gar). Lineage: Eukaryota; Metazoa; Chordata; Actinopteri; Semionotiformes; Lepisosteidae. The record is from RNAcentral.
AUUAGCAGCUAUAUCAACCUACAACCUACAACUGGCAGCCUGAUAAGCUCAGCAGGUGUGAGCCUGGCCAGUACCUGGAUGAGAGACCUCCUGGGAAACUAAGGUUGCUGCUGGGA